AACGAACGCUGGCGGCAUGCCUAACACAUGCAAGUCGAACGAGAUCUUCGGGUCUAGUGGCGCACGGGUGCGUAACGCGUGGGAAUCUGCCCUUUGGUUCGGAAUAACAGUUGGAAACGACUGCUAAUACCAGAUGAUGACGAAAGUCCAAAGAUUUAUCGCCAGAGGAUGAGCCCGCGUAGGAUUAGCUAGUUGGUGUGGUAAAGGCGCACCAAGGCGACGAUCCUUAGCUGGUCUGAGAGGAUGAUCAGCCACACUGGGACUGAGACACGGCCCAGACCCCUACGGGAGGCAGCAGUGGGGAAUAUUGGACAAUGGGCGAAAGCCUGAUCCAGCAAUGCCGCGUGAGUGAUGAAGGCCUUAGGGUUGUAAAGCUCUUUUACCCGGGAUGAUAAUGACAGUACCGUAAGAAUAAGCACCGGCUAACUACGUGCCAGCCGCCGCGGUAA
RNAcentral lists this ribosomal RNA (449 nucleotides) under uncultured bacterium. RNAcentral's name for it is "partial 16S ribosomal RNA". It matches the Rfam family "Bacterial small subunit ribosomal RNA", at positions 29 to 523 of the family's 1533-position model. The record is from RNAcentral.